CUUUCAAGUGAUGAUAAAAGAGACGGGGACAUGGAAAUCCUUUUUAAGGAGAAUUAAAUGUUGAUUCAUCUUUGGAAUCUCUCUGAUGCAUA
Small nucleolar RNA from Papaver somniferum (opium poppy), 92 nucleotides. RefSeq annotates it as small nucleolar RNA R44/J54/Z268 family. NCBI's taxonomy places the organism in Eukaryota, Viridiplantae, Streptophyta, Magnoliopsida, Ranunculales, Papaveraceae. The record is from RefSeq and is a predicted model, not a curated record. The transcript has a single exon.